UACGUAGGGUGCAAGCGUUGCUCGGAAUUACUGGGCGUAAAGCGUGCGCAGGCGGUUGUGUAAGUCUGUCGUGAAAUCCCCGGGCUCAACCUGGGAAUUGCGAUGGAGACUGCACGGCUAGAGUGUGUCAGAGGGGGGUAGAAUUCCACGUGUAGCAGUGAAAUGCGUAGAUAUGUGGAGGAACACCGAUGGCGAAGGCAGCCCCCUGGGAUAACACUGACGCUCAUGCACGAAAGCGUGGGGAGCAAACAGG
RNAcentral lists this ribosomal RNA (253 nucleotides) under uncultured bacterium. Its description in RNAcentral is "partial 16S ribosomal RNA". It matches the Rfam family "Bacterial small subunit ribosomal RNA", at positions 524 to 776 of the family's 1533-position model. The record is from RNAcentral.